RNAcentral lists this unclassified non-coding RNA (384 nucleotides) under uncultured bacterium. RNAcentral describes it as "contains 16S-23S intergenic spacer region". The record is from RNAcentral.
UCCGAUUUGUCACCGGCAGUUCCCUAAGAGUGCCCGGCAUUACCCGAUGGCAACAUAGAGUGAGGGUUGCGCUCGUUGCGGGACUUAACCCAACACCUCACGGCACGAGCUGACGACAGCCAUGCACCACCUGUGCAGGUUCCUGACUUAACAGGUCGUCGCCGUUUCCGGUUUCUACUUCCUGCAUGUCAAGCCCAGGUAAGGUUCUUCGCUCUGCAUCGAAUUGAACCACAUGCUCCACCGCUUGUGUGAGCCCCCGUCAAUUCCUUUGAGUUUUAGCCUUGCGACCGUACUUCCCAGGCGGUCGACUUAGCACUUUUGCUUCGACCGCAAUAGCGUCAGAGCCACUACGAUCUAGUCGACAUCGUUUACGGCCAGGACUAC